Non-coding RNA from Acanthosepion pharaonis, 114 nucleotides. NCBI's taxonomy places the organism in Eukaryota, Metazoa, Mollusca, Cephalopoda, Sepiida, Sepiidae. The record is from the annotation of a GenBank genome assembly.
UUACGGUCAAAUCACGCUGAAACACCGGUUCUCGUUCGAUCACCGAAGUUAAGGAUCGUAGAGCCAGGUCAGUACUUAGAUGGGGGACCGCUUGGGAACACCUGGUACUGUAAG